This 475-nucleotide ribosomal RNA is filed under the name Keratella quadrata. RNAcentral describes it as "partial 12S ribosomal RNA". The record is from RNAcentral. Lineage: Eukaryota; Metazoa; Rotifera; Eurotatoria; Ploima; Brachionidae.
AUCAGGUGAGACCACGUCCGACUACUACUUUUCAAACUUAAAGAAAUUGGCGGAGGAAAGAGAACACAGGGCGGCCUGGGGCUUAAUCGGAGGAUCCACCAGCAGACCUUCUUAGUAUAUAAUGUCAUCUGUAUGUCUGUUUAGAAGGAAUAUCUCAGACCAUCCCCCUAAAAUCUCAAUUUUGUUAGUCUACUAGUGAUUCUCAUUGUUUUAAGCUUGGCACCCUUAUGACUAAGUGUGUCUCAUUGGUAGGUUGUUAGAAUCAGCUCAAUUGUACAUCACAACACAGAGCUGACUCUUCCAGCAGCUUCUAUACAAGUCAAAUUCAGGUGAUAUUGGGAGUGUUACUAAGAGACAUCUGGGUCGCUUUUAACAUUUAGUUAGGGUUCAUUUAAAAAUCAGCCAUCAAGAACUUGAAAGUAAACUCCUUGUUUCUGGGUUGAAUUCAUCUCUUUCCUAGUACAAAUCCCGUCCC